RNAcentral lists this ribosomal RNA (323 nucleotides) under Fusobacterium sp. oral taxon G17. RNAcentral's name for it is "bacterial SSU rRNA". It matches the Rfam family "Bacterial small subunit ribosomal RNA", at positions 507 to 830 of the family's 1533-position model. Lineage: Bacteria; Fusobacteriati; Fusobacteriota; Fusobacteriia; Fusobacteriales; Fusobacteriaceae. The record is from RNAcentral.
GCCAGCAGCCGCGGUAAUACGUAUGUCACGAGCGUUAUCCGGAUUUAUUGGGCGUAAAGCGCGUCUAGGUGGUUAUGUAAGUCUGAUGUGAAAAUGCAGGGCUCAACUCUGUAUUGCGUUGGAAACUGUGUAACUAGAGUACUGGAGAGGUAAGCGGAACUACAAGUGUAGAGGUGAAAUUCGUAUAUAUUUGUAGGAAUGCCUAUGGGGAAGCCAGCUUACUGGACAUAUACUGACGCUAAAGCGCGAAAGCGUGGGUAGCAAACAGAUUAUAUACCCUGGUAGUCCACUCUGUAAACUGAUGAUUACUAUGUGUGGGGGGU